AGAAUCAACGCUGGCGGCGUGCCUAACACAUGCAAGUCGAACGAGAAAGUGGAGCAAUCCAUGAGUAAAGUGGCGCACGGGUGAGUAACACGUGACUAACCUACCUUUUAGUGGGGGAUAACCUAGGGAACCUGGGCUAAUACCGCAUAAUACCUACGGGUCAAAGCAGCAAUGCGCUGAAAGAGGGGGUCGCGGCCGAUUAGCUAGUUGGCGGGGUAAUGGCCCACCAAGGCAGUGAUCGGUAUCCGGCCUGAGAGGGCGCACGGACACACUGGAACUGAAACACGGUCCAGACUCCUACGGGAGGCAGCAGUGGGGAAUUUUGCGCAAUGGGGGAAACCCUGACGCAGCAACGCCGCGUGGAGGAUGAAGUCCCUUGGGACGUAAACUCCUUCGAUCGGGACGAUAAUGACGGUACCGAAGAAGAAGCCCGGCUAACUCGUGCCAGCAGCCGC
Molecule: ribosomal RNA, 455 nt
Filed under: uncultured bacterium
Lineage: Bacteria
Description: SSU rRNA
Rfam family: Bacterial small subunit ribosomal RNA
Source: RNAcentral